CAGCCGCCGCGGGAAUGCAGAGGGUGCGAGCGUUAAUCGGAUUUACUGGGCGUAAAGCGUGCGUAGGCGGCUUCUUAAGUCGGAUGUGAAAUCCCUGAGCUUAACUUAGGAAUUGCAUUCGAUACUGGGAAGCUAGAGUAUGGGAGAGGAUGGUAGAAUUCCAGGUGUAGCGGUGAAAUGCGUAGAGAUCUGGAGGAAUACCGAUGGCGAAGGCAGCCAUCUGGCCUAAUACUGACGCUGAGGUACGAAAGCAUGGGGAGCAAACAGGAUUAGAUACCCCCGUAGUCCCUGUCUCUUAUAC
This 301-nucleotide ribosomal RNA is filed under the name uncultured bacterium. Its description in RNAcentral is "partial 16S ribosomal RNA". It matches the Rfam family "Bacterial small subunit ribosomal RNA", at positions 509 to 807 of the family's 1533-position model. The record is from RNAcentral.